CCGGGAUGGACUGACCUCUGGUGUACCAGUUGUUCCGCCAGGAGCAUAGCUGGGUAGCUAAGUCGGGAAGGGAUAAACGCUGAAGGCAUCUAAGCGUGAAGCCCACCUCAAGAUAAGAUUUCCCAUAGAGUAAUCUAGUAAGAUCCCUUGAAGAACACAAGGUUGAUAGGUGAGAGGUGUAAGUGUGGUAACAUAUUUAGCUGACUCAUACUAAUAGAUCGAGGGCUUGACCAA
Molecule: ribosomal RNA, 234 nt
Filed under: Clostridium intestinale URNW
Lineage: Bacteria; Bacillati; Bacillota; Clostridia; Eubacteriales; Clostridiaceae
Description: partial 23S ribosomal RNA
Rfam family: Bacterial large subunit ribosomal RNA
Source: RNAcentral